Oncorhynchus tshawytscha (Chinook salmon) is the source of this 1349-nucleotide long non-coding RNA. RefSeq lists it as uncharacterized. NCBI's taxonomy places the organism in Eukaryota, Metazoa, Chordata, Actinopteri, Salmoniformes, Salmonidae. The transcript is spliced from 4 exons. The record is from RefSeq and is a predicted model, not a curated record.
AAUGACUAGUUCUGAAAACUAACGUUUCCCCCCGUCUCAUCAAUUAACCCUAUAAAUUCAGGUAUGUAAUGUGCAAAAUUGCAAUAUGACUCAAAUUAUUGAUGUAGCAUGGUUAAUUACAUAGUUCAUGAGUUUGAUGGUGUUCAAGGAAUAUGUGAAAAACUAGUUGGCAUUUUCCCCAUUGUAAGUAAUGUAGUUAGGCUAGGUUGCUAAUGGUCUACUUUUUAAAAUAUAUUAUUAUAUAUUUUUUAAAUGAGCUUUUUCGAAAUUGCCACUGAUAUCUAUUAUGAUAUCGAAUAUGAAAUGAUUGCAUAUACUGUAGUAUAAGAAAAGUGUGAUUGACUUCGGGGUUUUCUAUUGCUGUUUUUGUAUAACGUACUUUGAGGUCACUGAUACUCCACCUGAUGUGGUGGAAGUGUCGAACCAGAUCAGAACGCCUUCGAAGACCACCUUCAGGCGCGGACUUAAAAAACUUCCACAUCCUUUUACCAGGUGAGACUGAACAUGGACAGGGUACAUGAGAAAACGGAGAGCCACCGGAGUAGAAUCAAGGUGACCAAGAGGUUCGACAUCUGGGCAAAUGACUUAGCUUGAAAGGAAGACGAGACCCGGGAAAGCUUGGUGCUUCUAGCUGGGGUCACCAUCCGUUAUUAAGAACCACACAAACUCUUAGUUAACACAGUUGUCAAGCCAUACUGUGCUGUAUUUGCUCUGUUUAAUCAGCGUCAUUAAACAACCUCAACUGGCCUAUCAUCCGUGCCCUUACAAGCACCUGUGCUACGUAAAGUCCUCAACUACAUCCAGGACCUAGGAGUUAUGCCCAACACCCAGACAUGGAUCCACCUGAUGUCCUCCAUUACCAACCACACUCCAACUUUCCAUUACAUCAGCUACUGUUAUUGUCAUUAUCUGCUAAGAAAAAGCAAGCCAACUAUCAUACUGGGCUCAUUAUGUGAGAUACACAGAUUAGCUUAAAACACUAGCACUGCAAACACUCAGAACAAAGAGGGGAGCAGCGCCUGGAUUUUGCGGUCUCCUUCUUUGAGUCCACCUUCCAAGACGGACGACCUGUUGAAAACAAGUGACAGGCAGAACCUCCCAUCCACACAAUACCCACCUCCUCUCUGUUCCACACACCAGAAUUCAGCAUUUCAGUCUAUGAUUGCCAUGUGAGUGUACAAAAAAAUAAGUAAAUUGACACAUGUACCUAUAAAAUAUUGCCAGAUUGUUUUUUAUAGCUGUUUCAUAGGAUGUUCAUUAUUGUCAAUUGUAAGGUAUUCCUUGAUGGUAUUUGUUAAUUACAACAAUUAAUAAUGUUGAAGACAUACAAUAUAUAUGUUCAACCACAA